GACGAACGCUGGCGGCGUGCCUAAUACAUGCAAGUCGAGCGCUUAAGGUUGGUACUUGUACCAUCUGGAUGAGCAGCGAACGUGUGAGUACCGCGUGGGUAAUCUGCCUUUGAUCGGGGGACCACAUUUGGAAACGAAUGCUUAUACCGCAUAAAAUCUUUAAACACAAGUUUUAUGUUUGAAAUAUGCAAUUGCAUCACUCAAACAUGAUCCCGCGUUGUUUUAGUUAGUUUGUGAGGUAAAGGCUCACCAAGGCGGUGAUACAGAGCCGGCCUGAGAGGGAGGUCGACCAGAUUGGGAAUGGGACACGGCCCAAACGGCUCAGAGAGGCGGCAGUAGGGAAUCAUCGGGAAAGGAGGAAAGACUGACGGAGAAACGCCGGGUGAGUGAAGAAGGAACUCGGAUCGUGAAACUCUGUUGGUAGGGAAGAAAGGUGGUGAGAGUGGAAAGGUCAUGAAGUGACGGUAACUACACAGAAAGGGACGGCUAACUACGUG
This 497-nucleotide ribosomal RNA is filed under the name uncultured bacterium. RNAcentral's name for it is "partial 16S ribosomal RNA". It matches the Rfam family "Bacterial small subunit ribosomal RNA", at positions 28 to 507 of the family's 1533-position model. The record is from RNAcentral.